UGAUCAGAAUUAGCAUACUGUACUCAUCUAUUAAUAACUUAUCUCUUUCCAGCAAUACAAUGAUCUAAGAUGCUCUCAAGGGAUUCAUAAUGAAAAAUGCUAUCCACAUCAAGAGAAAGAACUGAUGAAGCUUGAAUGCAGGUCAAAGACACAGGACUCCAUUUCCCAAAACCACACCCUUGUGCAGGGUACCUUCUCAGCCUGGAGUGCACUGCUGCUUUUCUAACCUCCUCCCUCCAUGAGAAUGUCUUGUUUCUAUUGAAAUUCUGCUUCCCUACCUUCUUCUAAAUGAAGUUGCUGCUACUACUUUCCUUUGAAAAUGAUGCCCUGCUUCCUGCUCCAAAUUUCUGUGACUUUAUUGUGUUUACAUUUGUAUUUGCAUUCAGUAUUCUUGUAUGGAAUGUAAAUUACGGAUGGCACUAGAUUUUUGUCUUUCAGCCUCAGUGCCCACAAAAGUACUUGGCGCACACAAGGUACUUGAUAAAUACAUGUUGAUUAAGAACAAUCUGUGCUUCAAAAAUAUCAUGAGGAAACAAGAGUGGGCACCCAUUGGAAAGUAUUUCAAACAGGAAGAUGGAUCAUACCCCAUUAAGUAAAAGGGAUUCAUUGUAGGGCUCAUUACAUUAUUGUAAAGAUUUUUCUGUUUUCAUUUCUUAACCUCAAAUUUUCUGUCACAAUGUUUCAUUGUAAGAGAAAUGGUUUUAAACAUUCAUUUAAACAUAUGAGAUCCAUAC
Antechinus flavipes (yellow-footed antechinus) is the source of this 734-nucleotide long non-coding RNA. RefSeq lists it as uncharacterized. The record is from RefSeq and is a predicted model, not a curated record. The transcript has 2 exons. NCBI's taxonomy places the organism in Eukaryota, Metazoa, Chordata, Mammalia, Dasyuromorphia, Dasyuridae.